AAGCUACCCCGGGGAUAACAGGCUUAUCUCCCCCAAGAGUUCACAUCGACGGGGAGGUUUGGCACCUCGAUGUCGGCUCAUCGCAUCCUGGGGCUGUAGUCGGUCCCAAGGGUUGGGCUGUUCGCCCAUUAAAGCGGUACGCGAGCUGGGUUCAGAACGUCGUGAGACAGUUCGGUCCCUAUCCGUCGUGGGCGUAGGAAAUUUGAGAGGAGCUGUCCUUAGUACGAGAGGACCGGGAUGGACAUACCUCUGGUGUACCAGUUGUCGUGCCAACGGCAUAGCUGGGUAGCUAUGUGUGGACGGGAUAAGUGCUGAAAGCAUCUAAGCAUGAAGCCCCCCUCAAGAUGAGAUUUCCCAACUUCGGUUAUAAGAUCCCUCAAAGAUGAUGAGGUUAAUAGGUUCGAGGUGGAAGCAUGGUGACAUGUGGAGCUGACGAAUACUAAUCGAUCGAAGACUUAAUCAAAA
Molecule: ribosomal RNA, 465 nt
Filed under: Staphylococcus aureus
Lineage: Bacteria; Bacillati; Bacillota; Bacilli; Caryophanales; Staphylococcaceae
Description: partial 23S ribosomal RNA
Rfam family: Bacterial large subunit ribosomal RNA
Source: RNAcentral